CUGGAAUAUGUAAAAAAGACCUAAAACGUCGACAUUCACCACGCUCUAAACCACGGCGCGAUGCAGAUCGGUCGUUACUUUUUAGACGGCUACUACGAACAGAACGGAUCGAGGUAUGGUUUAGAAUACCUCGGAUGUCUCCAUCAUGGACACGAAUGUCGCUUCGACCCCGAUCAUACGCACCCCUUGUCGCAUGUACCCUACGGCGAACUCAGGAGACAGUCUGACGACAAAGUGGAAAUUCUGCAAAAUGCCUACGGGGUAAAAGUGGAAAUUUUAUGGGAAUGUCAGUGGCUGAAAAUGAAACAGACUGACCCCUCGGUGAAAGAAUUUAUGAGUAUUUAUUCGGCCCCCAAGAGACUGAAACCCCGAGACUCGCUUUAUGGUGGACGCACGAACGCUUAUAAGCUGUACCACAAAACGGUCGAUGGGGAGAAAAUAAGUUAUGUCGAUUUCACCAGCUUAUAUCCGUUCUGCCAGGCCAGGAAAAGCUAUCCGAUCGGUCACCCCGAGAUAAUUUUCAGCGACUUUGAACCGAUUGAGAAUUAUUACGGUCUUAUCAAGGCCACCGUGUACCCUCCACGCAAAUUACUACAUCCGGUUUUACCUUACCGCUGCGGCGGGAAACUAAUGUUCCCGUUAUGCCGAACAUGCGCACGCGCUGAAAACCAGACAACGAGUUGCACGCACACGGACGAGGAGAGGGCUCUCUCAGGGUGCUGGGUCAGCAUCGAACUUUUAAAAGCGAUCGAGAAGGGGUACGUGGUGGCAAAGGUCGACGAAGUGUGGCAUUUCCCACAGCGGUCAGAUACGCUGUUUUGCGAUUACGUGAAAACGUUUUUACGUUUGAAACAGCAAGCGUCCGGUUUCCCGUCAAACGUAGUCUCGGACGUGGACAAAGAGAAUUACAUCAUUGAAUAUUAUGAAAAAGAGGGGAUCCAACUUGACCCCGAAAAAAUCAGUCACAACCCCUCCCAGAGGUCUAUCAAUAAAUUGCUUCUUAAUUCGUUAUGGGGGCGAUUUUCUAUGCGCGAACAUUUACCGCAAACCCUGCUCGUGGAAGACCCUGAAGAUUUCGCACAAAU
Molecule: long non-coding RNA, 1085 nt
Filed under: Sinocyclocheilus anshuiensis
Lineage: Eukaryota; Metazoa; Chordata; Actinopteri; Cypriniformes; Cyprinidae
Description: lncRNA (ENSSANG00000035099.1)
Source: RNAcentral